Molecule: ribosomal RNA, 444 nt
Filed under: uncultured soil bacterium
Lineage: Bacteria
Description: bacterial SSU rRNA
Rfam family: Bacterial small subunit ribosomal RNA
Source: RNAcentral
AGAACGAACGCUGGCGGCAUGCCUAAUACAUGCAAGUCGAACGAACACUUCGGUGUUAGUGGCGCACGGGUGCGUAACGCGUGGGAAUCUGCCCUUGGGUUCGGAAUAACAGUCGGAAACGACUGCUAAUACCGGAUGAUAUCGAAAGAUCAAAGAUUUAUCGCCCAGGGAUGAGCCCGCGUAGGAUUAGCUAGUUGGUGAGGUAAAGGCUCACCAAGGCGACGAUCCUUAGCUGGUCUGAGAGGAUGAUCAGCCACACUGGGACUGAGACACGGCCCAGACUCCUACGGGAGGCAGCAGUAGGGAAUAUGGACAAUGGGCGCAAGCCUGAUCCAGCAAUGCCGCGUGAGUGAUGAAGGCCUUAGGGUUGUAAAGCUCUUUUACCCGAGAUGAUAAUGACAGUAUCGGAGAAUGAGCCCCGGCUAACUCCGUGCCAGCAGCCGC